GAUGAACGCUGGCGGCGUGCCUAAUACAUGCAAGUCGAGCGAACAGACGAGGAGCUUGCUCCUCUGACGUUAGCGGCGGACGGGUGAGUAACACGUGGAUAACCUACCUAUAAGACUGGGAUAACUUCGGGAAACCGGAGCUAAUACCGGAUAAUAUAUGGAACCGCAUGGUUCAAUAGUGAAAGACGGUUUUGCCGUCACUUAUAGAUGGAUCCGCGCCGCAUUAGCUAGUCGGUAAGGUAACGGCUUACCAAGGCAACGAUGCGUAGCCGACCGGAGAGGGUGAUCGGCCACACUGGAACUGAGACACGGUCCAGACUCCUACGGGAGGAAGCAGUAGGGAAUCUUCCGCAAUGGGCGAAAGCCUGCCGGAGCAACGCCGCGUGAGUGAUGAAGGUCUUCGGAUCGUAAAACUCUGUUAUUAGGGAAGAACAAAUGUGUAAGUAACUAUGCACGUCUUGACGGUACCUAAUCAGAAAGCCACGGCUAACUACGUG
Molecule: ribosomal RNA, 497 nt
Filed under: uncultured bacterium
Lineage: Bacteria
Description: partial 16S ribosomal RNA
Rfam family: Bacterial small subunit ribosomal RNA
Source: RNAcentral